RNAcentral lists this ribosomal RNA (520 nucleotides) under uncultured Glomeromycotina. RNAcentral describes it as "SSU rRNA". It matches the Rfam family "Eukaryotic small subunit ribosomal RNA", at positions 569 to 1093 of the family's 1831-position model. Lineage: Eukaryota; Fungi; Glomeromycota. The record is from RNAcentral.
AGCAGCCGCGGUAAUUCCAGCUCCAAUAGCGUAUAUUAAAGUUGUUGCAGUUAAAAAGCUCGUAGUUGAAUUUCGGGAUUAGUGCGCUGGUCAUGCCUUUGGUAUGUACUGGGGUUACUGAUUUCUACCUUCUGAAGAACCGUUAUGUCAUUCAUUUGGUGUGGCGGGGAAUCAGGACUGUUACUUUGAAAAAAUUAGAGUGUUUAAAGCAGGCUCGCGCUUGAAUACAUUAGCAUGGAAUAAUGAAAUAGGACGUUUGACCCUAUUUUGUUGGUUUCUAGGAUCGACGUAAUGAUUAAUAGGGAUAGUUGGGGGCAUUAGUAUUCAAUUGUCAGAGGUGAAAUUCUUGGAUUUAUUGAAGACUAACUACUGCGAAAGCAUUUGCCAAGGAUGUUUUCAUUAAUCAAGAACGAAAGUUAGGGGAUCGAAGACGAUCAGAUACCGUCGUAGUCUUAACCAUAAACUAUGCCGACUAGGGAUCGGAUGAUGUUAUUUUAAUGACUCAUUCGGCGCCUUACGG